GGUAGGAAUACCCGCUGAACUUA
This 23-nucleotide ribosomal RNA is filed under the name Phomopsis sp. G43. RNAcentral describes it as "partial 28S ribosomal RNA". The record is from RNAcentral. Lineage: Eukaryota; Fungi; Ascomycota; Sordariomycetes; Diaporthales; Diaporthaceae.